CAGCAGCCACGGUAAUACAGAGGUCCCGAGCGUUGUUCGGAUUCAUUGGGCGUAAAGGGUGUGUAGGAGGCCAGGUAAGUCAGGUGUGAAAUCUCAGAGCUUAACUCUGAAACUGCGCUUGAUACUGCUUGGCUAGAGGAUCGGAGGGGGUAACGGAAUUUAUGGUGUAGCAGUGAAAUGCGUAGAUAUCAUAAGGAACACCGGUGGCGAAGGCGGUUACCUGGAAGAUUCCUGACUCUGAAACACGAAAGCCAGGGGAGCAAACGGGAUUAGAUACCCGCGUAGUCCCUGUCUCUUAUAA
RNAcentral lists this ribosomal RNA (301 nucleotides) under uncultured bacterium. RNAcentral describes it as "partial 16S ribosomal RNA". It matches the Rfam family "Bacterial small subunit ribosomal RNA", at positions 509 to 809 of the family's 1533-position model. The record is from RNAcentral.